RNAcentral lists this small nuclear RNA (311 nucleotides) under Theropithecus gelada (gelada). RNAcentral's name for it is "7SK RNA (ENSTGEG00000018463.1)". It matches the Rfam family "7SK RNA". Rfam says of the family: 7SK was discovered as an abundant small nuclear RNA in the mid-70s but a possible function has only recently been suggested. Two independent studies have found that 7SK RNA binds the CDK9/cyclin T complex (known as elongation factor P-TEFb). Lineage: Eukaryota; Metazoa; Chordata; Mammalia; Primates; Cercopithecidae. The record is from Rfam by way of RNAcentral.
GGAUGAGGGCGAUCUGGCUGCAAUAUCUGUCACCCCAUCAGUCACCAAGGUUGGUUAGCUCAUCUGGCUGGUGUCCCCGUCCUCCCUCACCGCUCCACGUGCGUCCCUCCUGAAGCUGUGCACUUGGCUGAAGAGGACCACCACCUCCAAUAGAGGAGGAGCAGUCUUCGGUCCAGGGUAUAUGAGUAGCUGCACCCCCCUGCUAGAACCUCCAAACAAGCUCUCAAAUACACCUAUUUUUUGAAGUCCCUCAUCUUAUCACCCACUUCUUUUAUUUUAUUAAGUAUAUUAAACAUGCAAUAUCAUGUAUU